This 379-nucleotide ribosomal RNA is filed under the name uncultured eukaryote. RNAcentral's name for it is "partial 18S ribosomal RNA". It matches the Rfam family "Eukaryotic small subunit ribosomal RNA", at positions 592 to 975 of the family's 1831-position model. The record is from RNAcentral.
CAAUAGCGUAUAUUAAAGUUGUUGCGGUUAAAAAGCUCGUAGUUGGAUUUCUGUUGAGAACGUCCGGUCCGCACUAUGUGCGUGUAUCUGGUUCGGUCUUGGCAUCCUCUUGAGGAACGUAUCUGCGCUUGAUUGCGUGGAGCGGUAUUCAAGACUUUUACUUUGAGGAAAUUAGAGUGUUCACGGCAGGCAAGCGCCUUGAAUACGUUAGCAUGGAAUAAUAAUAUAGGAUCUUGGUUCUAUUUUGUUGGUUUCUAGGGCUAAGGUAAUGAUUAAUAGGGAUAAUUGGGGGCAUUUGUAUUAACGCGUCAGAGGUGGAAUUCUUGGAUUGCGUUACGACAAACUACUGCGAAAGCAUUUGCCAAGGAUGUUUUCAUUG